This 1082-nucleotide long non-coding RNA is filed under the name Rattus norvegicus (Norway rat). Its description in RNAcentral is "long non-coding RNA NONRATT013679". The record is from RNAcentral. Lineage: Eukaryota; Metazoa; Chordata; Mammalia; Rodentia; Muridae.
AGAUAAUGGGAAGCCUCCUACCCUGGUGACCAGCAUGAUCGACUACAACAUGCCAAUCACCAUGGCGUACAUGAAGCACAUGAAACUGCAGCUGCUAAACUCACAGCAAGAUGAGGAUGAAAGUUCAAUAGAGAGUGAUGAAUUUGAUAUGAGUGAUUCAACUCGGAUGUCCGCCGUGAACUCUGACCUUAGCUCCAAUCUGGAAGAAAGAGUGCAAAGUCCCCAGACUGCCCAGGGCCAGCAGGAUGGUAAGCUUUUCACACCGAACAAACGAUAGAUAAGGCAGCGAGACCAGCAAUGAGUAAGACUCUAUUAAAAUCACAACCACCUCUUCACUCUUGUGUCCAUUUAAAAAAAAUCUGUCUCUAUGGAGACAUUUUCUGGGCACUCAGGUUAUGUCAUCCACUUUAUUAUUUUUAGAUUUAAGUACUCUUUUCAAAAUUAAAGUGUUAGACUGAUUUAUAAAAAGAUGUCAGUUAUGAAAUCCGGGCAUAUCUUGCUUUCUUUUUAAAUAUGAAAUGUGCUACACUCCCUCCAUCCACCUCAUAAUUGUUAACAUUUCUUAGAGCUCUUAUUACCAUGUGAGACUAUAUUAUUUUCUCAUUCAUUACCCUUUCCUCUUCUAUUAUUAAUUUAUAAGUAUUCUUCCACUAUGAGUUUCCUGUCAUGUGCUCCAUUUCAAAUUCUUCUUACAUGUCCCAUCAUUUAAAUAAUUAAGGUGUAGCUUUCCAAUAUAAUUAUGGUUUGUAAAAUGAGUUUUACAUAUUUUCUUUCCUUUAUCCUGAUAAUAGCAUUCUCUUAAAUUAUCCAUGCUAGCACCAUACUGUUCAAUUCCCAUGUGCACAUGCAUGUGCACAUCCCUAAACAUACCUAUACUACUUUAUUAUACUUGUUUUAUACCUAAAGUGUGCUCUUUAUCUUGUGCUAUUCAUACCUAAUUAUUUUCUUUUGCAUGUAAGUUAUAUACAUAUAUGUGUAUGGCAUACAUUUGUGUAUGUACAAAAUAUUAUCUUGUGUGUAUAAAUAUAUGUAUUUGUAUGUAAUGCUGAGCAAAUAAAUGAAUAAGACAUUUUAAGAAGCAU